GUUUAAAUAGUUUAAUAAAAAUGACGGUCUGUGAAUCCGUAGAUAUAGAGAGUCUAUUUUAAACC
RNAcentral lists this transfer RNA (65 nucleotides) under Euphausia pacifica (North Pacific krill). Its description in RNAcentral is "tRNA-His". It matches the Rfam family "tRNA". Rfam says of the family: Transfer RNA (tRNA) molecules are approximately 80 nucleotides in length. Their secondary structure includes four short double-helical elements and three loops (D, anti-codon, and T loops). Further hydrogen bonds mediate the characteristic L-shaped molecular structure. tRNAs have two regions of fundamental functional importance: the anti-codon, which is responsible for specific mRNA codon recognition, and the 3' end, to which the tRNAs corresponding amino acid is attached (by aminoacyl-tRNA synthetases). tRNAs cope with the degeneracy of the genetic code in two manners: having more than one tRNA (with a specific anti-codon) for a particular amino acid; and 'wobble' base-pairing, i.e. permitting non-standard base-pairing at the 3rd anti-codon position. Lineage: Eukaryota; Metazoa; Arthropoda; Malacostraca; Euphausiacea; Euphausiidae. The record is from RNAcentral.